UCGAGUGAAUCGUGUUAAGGAAUUCGGCAAAAUACCCCCGUAACUUCGGGAGAAGGGGGGCCCAGAGGGUGACGGGACUUGCUCCCCGAGCCUGAACGGCCGCAGAGACCAGGGAGAAGCGACUGUUUACUAAAAACACAGGUCCGUGCCAAGUCGCAAGACGAUGUAUACGGACUGACGCCUGCCCGGUGCUGGAACGUUAAGGGGACCGGUUAGCCUCACGGCGAAGCUGAGAACUUAAGCGCCAGUAAACGGCGGUGGUAACUAUAACCAUCCUAAGGUAGCGAAAUUCCUUGUCGGGUAAGUUCCGACCUGCACGAAUGGCGUAACGACUUCUCCACUGUCUCAACCACGAACUCGGCGAAAUUGCACUACGAGUAAAGAUGCUCGUUACGCGCAGAAGGACGGAAAGACCCCGGGACCUUUACUACAGCUUGGUAUUGGUGUUCGGUACGGCUUGUGUAGGAUAGGUGGGAGACUGUGAAGCUGACACGCCAGUGUCGGUGGAGUCAACGUUGAAAUACCACUCUGGUCGUUCUGGAUAUCUAACCUAGGUCCGUAAUCCGGAUCAGGGACAGUGCCUGGUGGGUAGUUUAACUGGGGCGGUUGCCUCCUAAAAGGUAACGGAGGCGCCCAAAGGUUCCCUCAGCCUGGUUGGCAAUCAGGUUUCGAGUGUAAGUGCACAAGGGAGCUUGACUGUGAGACUGACAAGUCGAACAGGGACGAAAGUCGGGACUAGUGAUCCGGCGGUGGCUUGUGGAAGCGCCGUCGCUCAACGGAUAAAAGGUACCCCGGGGAUAACAGGCUGAUCUUGCCCAAGAGUCCAUAUCGACGGCAUGGUUUGGCACCUCGAUGUCGGCUCGUCGCAUCCUGGGGCUGGAGUAGGUCCCAAGGGUUGGGCUGUUCGCCCAUUAAAGCGGUACGCGAGCUGGGUUUAGAACGUCGUGAGACAGUUCGGUCCCUAUCCUCUGCGCGCGCAGGAAACUUGAGAAGGGCUGUCCCUAGUACGAGAGGACCGGGAUGGACGAACCUCUGGUGUGUCAGUUGUUCUGCCAAGAGCACCGCUGAUUAGCUACGUUCGGGAGUGAUAACCGCUGAAAGCAUCUAAGCGGGAAGCAUGCUUCAAGAUGAGGUUUCCAUGGGGUUUACCCCGAGAGGCUCCCAGCUAGACUACUGGGUUGAUAGGCCGGAUGUGGAAUUGCGGUAACGCAUGGAGCUGACCGGUACUAAUAAGCCGAUAACUUGACUAA
RNAcentral lists this ribosomal RNA (1250 nucleotides) under metagenome. RNAcentral's name for it is "bacterial LSU rRNA". It matches the Rfam family "Bacterial large subunit ribosomal RNA", at positions 1689 to 2925 of the family's 2925-position model. The record is from RNAcentral.